This 23-nucleotide non-coding RNA is filed under the name Arabidopsis thaliana (thale cress). The record is from RNAcentral. Lineage: Eukaryota; Viridiplantae; Streptophyta; Magnoliopsida; Brassicales; Brassicaceae.
AUGGAUGAGCCGACCAGAGAUGG